GGAUGGCACUUGAAACUGCGUAGCUGGAGUCUGGAGAGGGUGGCGGAAUCCCGGUGUAGGAGUGAAAUCCGUAGAGAUCGGGAAGAACACCAGAGGCGAAGGCGGCCACCUGGCCAGAAACUGACGCUGAGGCGCGAAAGCGUGGGUAGCAAACAGGAUUAGAUACCCUGGUAGUCCACGCUGUAAACACUGGAUGCUAGAUGCGGGUGGCGUAGAAGUCAUUCGUGUCGCAGCUAACGCGUUAAGCAUCCCGCCUGGGGAGUACGGCCGCAAGGCUGAAACUCAAAGGAAUUGACGGGGGCCUGCACAAGCGGUGGAGUAUGUGGUUUAAUUCGAUGCAACGCGAAGAACCUUACCUGGGCUUGACAUCCCGGGAAUCGCCUGGAGACA
This 390-nucleotide ribosomal RNA is filed under the name uncultured bacterium. RNAcentral's name for it is "bacterial SSU rRNA". It matches the Rfam family "Bacterial small subunit ribosomal RNA", at positions 618 to 1008 of the family's 1533-position model. The record is from RNAcentral.